Molecule: ribosomal RNA, 363 nt
Filed under: uncultured bacterium
Lineage: Bacteria
Description: bacterial SSU rRNA
Rfam family: Bacterial small subunit ribosomal RNA
Source: RNAcentral
AUUUCAGCAAUGAAAUCUUAGUGGCGAACGGGUGAGUAACGCGUAGACAACCUGCCUUUUAGAUGGGGACAACACUGCGAAAGUGGUGCUAAUACCGAAUGUUGUAUUUUAAGCGCAUGUUUGAAAUACUAAAGAUGGCCUCUAUUUAUAAGCUAUCACUAAAAGAUGGGUCUGCGUCUGAUUAGCUAGUUGGUGAGGUAAUGGCUCACCAAGGCGACGAUCAGUAGCCGGUCUGAGAGGAUGAACGGCCACACUGGGACUGAGACACGGCCCAGACUCCUACGGGAGGCAGCAGUGGGGAAUCUUCCGCAAUGGACGAAAGUCUGACGGAGCAACGCCGCGUGAGUGAAGAAGGUUUUCGGA